GACGAACGCUGGCGGCGUGCUUAACACAUGCAAGUCGAACGGAAAGGCCCUGCUUUUGUGGGGUGCCCGAGUGGCGAACGGGUGAGUAACACGUGAGUAACCUGCCCUUGACUUUGGGAUAACUUCAGGAAACUGGGGCUAAUACCGGAUAGCAGCUCCUGCUGCAUGGUGGGGGUUGGAACGUUUCGGCGGUUGGGGAUGGACUCGCGGCUUAUCAGCUUGUUGGUGGGGUAGUGGCUUACCAAGGCAUUGACGGGUAGCCGGCCUGAGAGGGUGACCGGCCACAUUGGGACUGAGAUACGGCCCAGACUCCUACGGGGGGCAGCAGUGGGGAAUAUUGCACAAUGGGCGGAAGCCUGAUGCAGCAACGCCGCGUGCGGGAUGACGGCCUUCGGGUUGUAAACCGCUUUCGCCUGUGACGAAGCGUGAGUGACGGUAAUGGGUAAAGAAGCACCGGCUAACUACGUG
Molecule: ribosomal RNA, 468 nt
Filed under: uncultured bacterium
Lineage: Bacteria
Description: partial 16S ribosomal RNA
Rfam family: Bacterial small subunit ribosomal RNA
Source: RNAcentral